RNAcentral lists this long non-coding RNA (474 nucleotides) under Pan troglodytes (chimpanzee). RNAcentral describes it as "long non-coding RNA NONPTRT002849". Lineage: Eukaryota; Metazoa; Chordata; Mammalia; Primates; Hominidae. The record is from RNAcentral.
GAAAAGCCUGUGGUGGGGGAAGGGAGUGAAGGCAUGUGCCUCCUCAUGGAACACAGGGUCGGAGUCGGCUAGGAGGGAUAAGAGUACAAUAGAGGGUUGUGUGACACAGACAGGCUGCCAGCCCUCAGCAUGGACCCGGCACAUGGAAUCUGUGAUCUUAAAAGAGUCAAGUGACUACCUUUGGCAACCAAAAGAGACACUGCCUUUUAGAAGGCAUAUCAUCUGAAACUGGCUGAAAGAGCUGUCUUACUUAGGAAGAAAAAUCUCUCCUUUGGAAAGAGCUGGAACUUUUAGUAAAACUGAACAGUGAGGUGGCGGAAGAUAAAUAUGCUGAGGCAUGUUUUCAAGGAGGGGAGAGAGAUUCCUUUUCCUCAGCCGGGCACAGAGCUGACCUGAAGUGUAGCACUGUGGUGACCUGGCGGGAUCUGCUCUCCAGUCACUCCCGAGGGCCCUUCUGGGGACAAGGAGACUUUU